GUUUGGAGAGGGACCUAUAGUGAAAAGAAUACCAUCCCCACUGUGAAGCAUGGUAGGGGCUCAUGGAUGUUUUGAGGGUUGUGAGCUCGGGGAAUCUUGUGAAAAUUGAUGGCAAGAUUAAUGCUGCAUGUUAUCAGAAAAUACUGGCAGACAAUUUGCAUUCUUCUGCACGAAGGCUGCACAUGGGAUGCAAUUGGACUUUCCAGCAUGACAACAACCCUAAUCACAAGACCAAGUUGACCCUCCAGUGGUUACAGCAUGAAAAGGUGAAGGUUCUGGAGUGGCCAUCACAGUCUCCUGACCUUAGUAUCAUCGAGCCACUCUGGGGAGAUCUGAAACGUGCGGUUCAUGUAAGACGAACAAAGACUUUGCAUGACCUGGAGGCAUUUUGCUAAGACCAAUGGGCAGCUAUACCACCUGCAAGAAUUAGGGGCCUCAUAGAGAGCUAUUAGAAAAGACUGCACGCUGUCAUUGAUGCUAAAGUGGUCAAUACACAGUAUUAAGAACUAAGGGAAUGCAGACUUCUGAACAGGGGUCAUUUCAUU
Pelobates cultripes (western spadefoot toad) is the source of this 545-nucleotide non-coding RNA. NCBI's taxonomy places the organism in Eukaryota, Metazoa, Chordata, Amphibia, Anura, Pelobatidae. The record is from the annotation of a GenBank genome assembly.